CUUCAUUUGAAGUUUCAGUUCAAACGCCAACUUUAAGAUGACAUCCUGAAAGAAUAGAAUAUCCUUCUCCAGGGCUCUAUCCACUCUAAAGCAAUGAAAAUUAGAUGAUUCUGUUUCUCCAACCAGUCGUGUACAUGGGGUCAAGAGCUGAAGAUGGAAGUUGGUUGACCCCCACUUACCAUCCCUCCUAAUAAUCUGCUUAGAGAAUUUGGGCUUGCUGUUCCUAUGACACUGAGCCCAGUGUUGCUAGAGGUCCUGAUUCCCAGACCAAGAACCCUUCCACCAGAGGACUCAGCAAGAGUCCCCUUACAUUUUUCGCUAUCAUUGUCACCUGUUCAUUUAGAGUUCCUAUGCUAAAAGUCUAGCAAGAAAGGAAUUGAGGAGAUAGGACUGUUAUAAAUGCAGGCAGCCAGCUGUUCCAGAGAACCUCUCUUGUCACCAGAGCCCUAUCUUGGAAACAGACAGGUGAAUGCAUCAGCUGUGGCUGGAAAAGGGCAUGGUGACCAGAGGGCCAUUCCCUUUAGAGAUGAUCAUUACACCAGAUGUUGCUCCGAAGAGAUUCCGCCAGGGAACAGUCUACAAGAAAAUCUCAGAAUCUCAGAAUAUGCUUCCGGGGAAACCCAACUUAAGAUCAAUUCUUGUUUUAAAAGACAGAGAGGGACUGGCCUUUUCCUUGGCUUCCUGAGUUAUGGCAUGCUUUCUCUUGCCCCAGAACCUUUGCAUAUGCUGAUUCCUUUGCACCGAAGUGUCUUCUGUCACGUGCUUCAAACUUGACACCAGGGAAGUCCUUGAUCGUCCCUUGUCUGGAUCAGAUGACCGUUACAUGUGCUCGUAGGACCACGCACUCCUCCUUCCUGAGACUUAUUAGUUUGAAUCCUAUAUUUGUAUCAUCAUUUGAUUAAAGUUUCUUUUGCUCAUGAUGAUAGCCAGCACCUAGCACAAUGUCAAACUCAUGGCUGACAAUAAAUAUCUAUUAAAUUAGGACUCUAAUUCCACCAUAAACAAGAUUCA
RNAcentral lists this long non-coding RNA (1011 nucleotides) under Mustela putorius furo (domestic ferret). Its description in RNAcentral is "lncRNA (ENSMPUG00000028998.1)". The record is from RNAcentral. Lineage: Eukaryota; Metazoa; Chordata; Mammalia; Carnivora; Mustelidae.